CCUAGAAGAGGAAGAAAGAAGCAUGAGACCAUCUUGUUCUACGGUGUGAACAGGGGCUCCCAAGCUCCUACGCCACCAAGGUCAAUGAUGCUCACUGAGGCUCCCAUGGCCAGGGCUCCCAGAGUCACAGCUCUACUCACCCCACCAAACCCUGCCAUUGUGGCUAUGGGUUCACCUCAGAAGGGAAGAGGGGAAGCUAAGAAGCCUGAGGCUGACUAAUAACCAUGGAUAGGGCCUCACUGACCUAGGAUAACCGUUCUGUCUUCUAAGAGGGGGAUUCCAAACACCAGCCUUCAUCCUUCUGUGGCAAGAGCUUUCUUUCUCUGCUCUCCCAGCUGUCUGGGUAUGGUACUCUCAGCUUGAGAUGCACAUGCCAGUAAAUGUUCUUUCUUUUUUUUUUUUAAGUUUUAUUUAUUUAAUGUAUAUCUGUAUGUACACCGGCAUACCAGACAGGGGGCAUCAGAUUUCAUUCUGAUAUGGUUGUAAGCCAUCAUGUAGUUGCUGGGAAUUGAACUCAGGACCUCUGGAAGGGCAGCCAGUGCUCUUAACCACUGAGCUAUCACCAAAUGUCUGUUCUUUACAUGACCUGUCUCAGGAAUCCUCUUACAGCUGCACCAAAUAAACUAAACUAAAACAGUGAUGUGCCCCAAGACACGCAGGCACGAAUGGCUGGAUCUCUAAGGGUCUCUAAGCUGACCCAGCUCCCAGCUUUUCUGUCUAAUGUCGCCACAGGAAACCCCACUUCGGCCAUUCUCUACAGAAUUAGUCCUGACUCCUUCCAGGAUCUACACAGUCGCUGUCAUUUUCCCUUCCUAGCAAUCACCUCUCCAGACACCUCCCUCGAGGUUACAGUCCUACCUGGUUUACAUCAUCCUGAAGAUCAGGCAUCAGCCAGCGACAGCCCAUGAGUCAGACUGUGGCCUGCUUUGGACAAUCCAGGAGCUAGUAUUAGCUUUUAUAUUUGGAAAGGGGCUACAAAAAGAAAGGAGAAAGAAAAAAAAGAACGGAAAGGAAAGCUAUGGUUCUCUGGAGAUGUAUCUCAGUUGGUAGACCAUUUGCUUGCCUAAAACACAAGAAGCUCCGGGUUCUAUUCCCAGCAGCACAUGAACUGGGCAUUGUUUCCCGAGCCCCCUGGAAUCCAAGAACUAAGGAGGUAGAGGUGGGAGGAGAAGAAACUCAAGGUCAUCCUCGUGACAUAUUUAGUUCAAGGUCAACUGAGAUCCUGCCAGUCAAUCAAUCAAUCAACAGUAAAACUGCGACAAGGAGAUCCUGCCAAUCAAUCAUCAGCAGAGAGAUGGAACACCGCCCACAAAGUACUCUCUGUCACUCACUGCACAUAGAUGAGGGCCUGGAGUGAGAGUCUAAGUCACUUAAGGAUCCAUACAGAUCUGGGAGAGCCUCGCCAAUAUUCACGUGCAACGUGAGGCUCCCCAUUAGAUAUCUCAUGUCAAGGAGUGUGUGGAGGCAGAGCAACUAAGGUGGGAUUGGGACCAGCAGCUGUUCUGAGCACAUACCCCACAUGACUCCAGCAUAGCUAUCAUCCUGAGCCCAGUGCCACACUGGGUCCAGGGCAGAGCCGCUGCCGGUGCAGGUUGGGGCACUAACAAAGACAGCUUGAUUCCUUAUGCUCUCUGGAAACAGCAGGCAGCCAGGGCAUCAGCAGCCACAGUGGAGAACCCAGGCAGCGGGACCCGGCAGCCUGCAUCCAGGAAUUGUGGUGGAGGGAGACCAGGCAGAGGACUGAGCACUGAAAUCCCAGAAUGCUGUACAAGGCAGAGCUGCCCGCAGCCAAAUGCAGGCCAAGGGCUCCAAGCAGGCUGCUCUUGACUGACAAGAGCCAUCUCUGGGAUCCAGACUUGGGGUGAUAGGAUCAUCGAGAGUCCCGCAAGAGCAAA
Mus musculus (house mouse) is the source of this 1895-nucleotide long non-coding RNA. RefSeq annotates it as predicted gene, 53528. The transcript is spliced from 3 exons. The record is from RefSeq and is a predicted model, not a curated record. NCBI's taxonomy places the organism in Eukaryota, Metazoa, Chordata, Mammalia, Rodentia, Muridae.